UACAGUGGGUGCGAGCGUUAAUCGGAAUUACUGGGCGUAAAGCGCACGUAGGUGGCGACGUAAGUCGGGUGUGAAAGCCCCGGGCUCAACCUGGGAAUUGCAUUCGAGACUGCAUUGCUGGAGUACGGAAGAGGAGGGCGGAAUUCCCGGUGUAGCGGUGAAAUGCGUAGAUAUCGGGAGGAACAUCAGUGGCGAAGGCGGCCCUCUGGUCCUGUACUGACACUCAAGUGUGAAAGCGUGGGGAGCAAACAGG
Molecule: ribosomal RNA, 253 nt
Filed under: uncultured bacterium
Lineage: Bacteria
Description: partial 16S ribosomal RNA
Rfam family: Bacterial small subunit ribosomal RNA
Source: RNAcentral